This 484-nucleotide ribosomal RNA is filed under the name uncultured bacterium. Its description in RNAcentral is "partial 16S ribosomal RNA". It matches the Rfam family "Bacterial small subunit ribosomal RNA", at positions 29 to 507 of the family's 1533-position model. The record is from RNAcentral.
AUUGAACGCUGGCGGCAUGCUUUACACGUGCAAGUCGAACGGCAGCGCGGGCUUCGGCCUGGCGGCGAGUGGCGAACGGGUGAGUAAUGCAUCGGAACGUGCCCAGUAGUGGGGGAGAGCCCGGUGAAAGCCGGAUUAAUACCGCAUAAGACCUGAGGGUGAAAGCGGGGGAGCGAAAGGCCUCGCGCCAUUGGAGCGGCCGAUGUCGGAUUAGCUAGUUGGUGGGGUAAAGGCUUACCAAGGCGACGAUCCGUAGCUGGUCUGAGAGGACGACCAGCCACACUGGAACUGAGACACGGCCCAGACUCCUACGGGAGGCAGCAGUGGGGAAUUUUGGACAAUGGGGGCAACCCUGAUCCAGCCAUGCCGCGUGCGUGAAGAAGGCCUUCGGGUUGUAAACCGCUUUUGUUCGGGAAGAAAACCUCUGGGCUAAUACCCCGGGGGGAUGACGGUACCGGAAGAAUAAGCACCGGCUAACUACGUG